This 165-nucleotide unclassified non-coding RNA is filed under the name soil metagenome. RNAcentral's name for it is "partial contains small subunit ribosomal RNA, internal transcribed spacer 1, and 5.8S ribosomal RNA". The record is from RNAcentral.
UUUCCGUAGGUGAACCUGCGGAAGGAUCAUUAAUAAUUUGCCGAACCUAGCGUUAGCGAGGUUCUGCGAUCACUUUAUAUUUAAAACCCAACUCUUAAAUGUAUAAUUAUGUAUUUUUUUAAUAAAAAAUAAAGAUCACUUUCAACAACGGAUCUCUUGGCUCUC